Molecule: long non-coding RNA, 362 nt
Filed under: Homo sapiens (human)
Lineage: Eukaryota; Metazoa; Chordata; Mammalia; Primates; Hominidae
Description: non-protein coding lnc-MAP3K10-1:2
Source: RNAcentral
GUUCGAGGCGCCUACAGGAGUGGGUGAAGGGGAGGGCCGGGAGAUGUAGCUGGUCCCUCCCCACCCACCUGUGUCCCUUCUCUUUGGGGAUAAAGCCCUGGAUCCCCAUCAUAGCCCAGGCCCUGAGCCCUGCCACCCUGCUCUCUCCCCCUCACCCACUCCCCCAAGAAAUCAUGAUGACAACAGUGACAACUCCAGUCAUAGCAGGCAGGGCAAGAAGAUGAGGCUGUCUUCAAAAGGCAGCUUCGCCGACAGAGCAGGGUUCAACCAUCAUGCCUAUUACUGACUUCCAGCAAAUCCAAUAACCUCUCUAUGCCCGUUUCCUCCCCUGUACAACGGGGACGAUCGGGACAGCGAGCUGC